This 2457-nucleotide long non-coding RNA is filed under the name Centruroides sculpturatus (bark scorpion). RNAcentral describes it as "uncharacterized LOC111635891, transcript variant X2". The record is from RNAcentral. Lineage: Eukaryota; Metazoa; Arthropoda; Arachnida; Scorpiones; Buthidae.
GUAAAAUUUUCAAUCAAAGUGGAGUUAUGAAUCGUCUGGUCAUUUGGCAAUCAAAAUAGUGAUUCUAAUAAUAAUCUGAUGGCCAAAUUAAUUAGAUAUUUGGAAGAAAAAUGCCAUCCUCACCCAGAAUUUCAUCUAGUCCAAUGCUUCCUGUGCAAUUAGUCUAUGGCACAGCUGCUUUUGUGGUCACUUUUUUGAUUAUUAAUCAUAAUGAAACAACUAUAAGAGAUGAUCAGAGAUCCGAAGUUUUUGGAUGGUUAAAAGACAUUGGAAUCGCAAAAUAUAGAAAAGAGAUUUACGGAAAUGGUUGUACGGAUCUAGUCCGAUGCGCCGCUUCGCUCACCAUUGAUCCAACCCACGAUCACCACCACCAACUUCGUUCGUCCAGCGAGUGGUCUCGUCUUCCGACGCAUACACGCCACACACUGGUUUUGGCGGGCAGCGAGUUGCGCCAGAGACUCAUUUUACGCCAGUGGCUCAAACAGCACGCAUUAGACGACAAGGAACAGAGGUGAGUGGCUGGUGUUGAAAAUUCUUUCCAUUCUUUUAUUAAUAAACACGCAUUCUAAAUUUAAUCGACUCAACUAUACACUAUUACUUUUAAGCUAUUAUGACGUUGUUUAUCCCGGUCAUGACACCAUUUUUCUCUCUUUAAAAAGCUUGUUUUCGAGAGUUUAGUAAGCGUUAAACUACACUCUCUCGCUCCUAUUGCAUAAUAUAAAGAUGUUACCGCCGUGUGAAUAUCGGAUGUGGAUAAUACGAGAGGGAUUUUAACACGUUAAGCCGAGACAGUUGUUGUGUUAAGACGCAUUUAACGUAAGGGGAUGGAUGGACAAUGCUCCAGCUAAGCGGCUCCUCCUUUAUAUAUAUAUAUAUUGGAAUUUAUCUCGUAUCAGAUAUGAGAAAAAUGGGCAAAGAUAUUAAAUUUUUAGUGGAUAAAAGUAAGAAUUAUUUUAUUAUCGAUUCGUUGGUGAGAUAUUUCCGUUCUGUUUUCGACUCCAGUGUUUUAGCUUUCGCAGAAAUAAUAGUUUUUGCAUGUCGUUACCGAAUAAUAAUAAUAAAAAAACCCAUAUAUUAAUUGCAAAUAAUGUUAUCUGACAUUGAUUUCUCUUUAUCUUACCUAACAAAAUCCCAUUUUAUAUAUUUCGAUUGUUUAGAUCACAUCACAAAACACAUUAUUGCUUUGUUUCUUUGUUGCCUCUACGAACACGUAUUGUUUAGAUCAAUAAAUGAAUUUUUUCCAAGCCGUUACCUAUACUCCAAUCUCUAAAUAUAAAAUUCGUUUUUAACAUUUUAUACACUCCUCGACUUCUGUUGAUUUACAAAACUCUCGUUGUUUGUUUACGAAAGAAGGGAAGUUCGUAUCGGAACUCGAGCCGCGACUUAUCUUUUCGUCGAGUGAUUUUACUCAUUAAAACUUUAAUUGGAUGUCCGCAUCGAAGGGUUAGACUUAAACUUUCAAAGAUUGUUUGACAGCUUGGAAACCGCAGGCAUCGACCCGAAUUAAUAAACUCCAGAGACAAGUCAUUAAGAGGUUUUUAAAAGCUAUUACCUUCAUUGUCAGAAUUGAUAGAGAUGUAAGGCCGAGCACUAGAAAUUCCACUCUUGAAAAAUAUUCGUUAAGUGGACUUAAAGAUUAAAGAUCUUUUAAAGGAGACCAUCGAGAAAUUUGGAAGAUUUUACAAAUCGACAUUUAACAUCGGUGCAAUCGAUAACUGCCUACGGUACGAGGCUCCACAUUCAGUAGAAGGGAUUAAUUAAUGUUAAGUAUCGAUUUAAAGAAAGACGUAUUAAGCGAGUUAUUCUUCAGUUAAGGUGUGCUAAUUGUAAGUGUUCGAGAAACUAAUUACAGAAUAUGAAGUUUCAUUGAUUAUAAUUGAAUGUGUAAUUGAUAUAUACAUAUGUGUGUGUGUGUAGUUCUGUAAUAUAUUUAACAGUUGCAUCUGGUCACGUUCUGCUUCGUUUCUAAUUAAACCGAAUUAAGAAGAGCGAAAAUUAGAUUGUAGUCGGUUAAUUUCAAUUUAAGUAAACACGGCGUUGUUGUUUGUUAAGAAAUCUCCUAGAUAUUAUUUUUUGCAAGCGGGUGAUGUAUCAUAAAUACACAUUUUUAAUGAUAAAUUUAGAAAAAAAAAGGAGAUGAUAUCAGUUGUUUCUGGCCGAAACUAAUAAUAAAAAUGGGUAGAAGAUACUUUAAAGUGACUAAAACAGAAGGGGGAGGAUAAAAUAUACAUUUUUAGGCGGAAAAUAAUCUGCCGUAAUGGAAAAUUCAAUAAGACGUUUCGGAAACAGAUAAGAAAAAAAGCCAUAAAGUUAUUUUUGAAGUUACCCUAUCUUAUUUUUCUUUUUUUUUUCAUCAAGUUGUAAUUAGAUUCUUCGGGUCCGGUAUAGGAAUGGAAACAAAGUUAAGUCUCUGCUCCCUUUCUAACUAUUCUGGGUGCACUUAAAACUCCCUUUUGG